AAAGAGGGGGACCUUCGGGCCUCUUGCCAUCGGAUGUGCCCAGAUGGGAUUAGCUUGUAGGUGGGGUAACGGCUCACCUAGGCGACGAUCCCUAGCUGGUCUGAGAGGAUGACCAGCCACACUGGAACUGAGACACGGUCCAGACUCCUACGGGAGGCAGCAGUGGGGAAUAUUGCACAAUGGGCGCAAGCCUGAUGCAGCCAUGCCGCGUGUAUGAAGAAGGCCUUCGGGUUGUAAAGUACUUUCAGCGGGGAGGAAGGGAGUAAAGUUAAUACCUUUGCUCAUUGACGUUACCCGCAGAAGAAGCACCGGCUAACUCCGUGCCAGCAGCCGCGGUAAUACGGAGGGUGCAAGCGUUAAUCGGAAUUACUGGGCGUAAAGCGCACGCAGGCGGUUUGUUAAGUCAGAUGUGAAAUCCCCGGGCUCAACCUGGGAACUGCAUCUGAUACUGGCAAGCUUGAGUCUCGUAGAGGGGGGUAGAAUUCCAGGUGUAGCGGUGAAAUGCGUAGAGAUCUGGAGGAAUACCGGUGGCGAAGGCGGCCCCCUGGACGAAGACUGACGCUCAGGUGCGAGAGCGUGGGGAGCAGACAGGAUUAGAUACCCUGGUAGUCCACGCCGUAGACGAUGUCGACUUGGAGGUUGUGCCCUUGAGGCGUGGCUUCCGGAGCUAACGCGUUAAGUCGACCGCCUGGGGAGUACGGCCGCAAGGUUAAAACUCAAAUGAAUUGACGGGGGCCCGCACAAGCGGUGGAGCAUGUGGUUUAAUUCGAUGCAACGCGAAGAACCUUACCUGGUCUUGACAUCCACGGAAGUUUUCAGAGAUGAGAAUGUGCCUUCGGGAACCGUGAGACAGGUGCUGCAUGGCUGUCGUCAGCUCGUGUUGUGAAAUGUUGGGUUAAGUCCCGCAACGAGCGCAACCCUUAUCCUUUGUUGCCAGCGGUCCGGCCGGGAACUCAAAGGAGACUGCCAGUGAUAAACUGGAGGAAGGUGGGGAUGACGUCAAGUCAUCAUGGCCCUUACGACCAGGGCUACACACGUGCUACAAUGGCGCAUACAAAGAGAAGCGACCUCGCGAGAGCAAGCGGACCUCAUAAACUGCGUCGUAGUCCGGAUUGGAGUCUGCAACUCGACUCCAUGAAGUCGGAAUC
This 1148-nucleotide ribosomal RNA is filed under the name Escherichia fergusonii. RNAcentral describes it as "bacterial SSU rRNA". It matches the Rfam family "Bacterial small subunit ribosomal RNA", at positions 202 to 1333 of the family's 1533-position model. Lineage: Bacteria; Pseudomonadati; Pseudomonadota; Gammaproteobacteria; Enterobacterales; Enterobacteriaceae. The record is from RNAcentral.